RNAcentral lists this ribosomal RNA (113 nucleotides) under Chitinophagaceae bacterium. The record is from RNAcentral. Lineage: Bacteria; Pseudomonadati; Bacteroidota; Chitinophagia; Chitinophagales; Chitinophagaceae.
CAUGGUGGUUUUGCCGAGGGUGUUCACCUCUUCCCAUUCCGAACAGAGCAGUUAAGCCCCUCAUGGCCGAUGGUACUUGGACACAAUCCUGGGAGAGUAGGUAGCCGCCGUCU